GCUUCCAUCAUUGCCGCUGCUGCUGUCACCACUACUACCACUGCAGGGUUGCCUAGAAGCCGAUGAUCACUGUAAAGUUCCCCAAUGAAUUAAGUUUGGGCCAGGAGAUACUAAAGGAUACAAAAAUGGCAGACUCACUGCUGUUCUGGAGGUCUGUGCUAAACACACAUGGAAGAAUCUAUGCCAGGUACUCUGCCACCAUGGCAAAGCAUCCGAACAUGAAGAAGAUGGGUUUGAAUACCUGAAGAAUGUUGGGAGCUAAGUCAGUAUUGGUCCACAUCUGAAGACUGACAAAUCAUUUCAAGCAAAAAGAAGUAUGUAAUGUAGAAUGACAUCAUAUUUUAUGACUCUUUUAUCAUUAUGCUUUCUCUCAGGGAACUUCUUUAGAAAAACCGUUUCCCCAGAGUAAGUAUAUUUCCAUCAAACAGAACCCACUGAAACAUGAUGAGGACAAAGGCUACACCUCAAUUUAAUAAAGAUGCCUAAAUAUACAAGUCAGACCUGGAUAUUACUUAUGAAGCUGCAUAUAUAUUAAAACA
This 539-nucleotide long non-coding RNA is filed under the name Homo sapiens (human). RNAcentral's name for it is "HSALNT0307752". The record is from RNAcentral. Lineage: Eukaryota; Metazoa; Chordata; Mammalia; Primates; Hominidae.